AUAUGAAUCUCUUGGGAGUCUUGUUAAAAUUAAUUUCUAAUUCAGUGGAUCUGGAGUAGGACCUGAGAUUUCACAUUUCUAAUAAGCUCCCAUGUGAUACCACU
This 104-nucleotide microRNA precursor is filed under the name Marmota monax (woodchuck). The record is from RNAcentral. Lineage: Eukaryota; Metazoa; Chordata; Mammalia; Rodentia; Sciuridae.